This 418-nucleotide long non-coding RNA is filed under the name Amborella trichopoda. RNAcentral's name for it is "long non-coding RNA (ATRI_LNC004901)". Lineage: Eukaryota; Viridiplantae; Streptophyta; Magnoliopsida; Amborellales; Amborellaceae. The record is from RNAcentral.
GAGCUACGUCUUCUUGAAUGAGAGGUUGCCCCACGGUAAGUGAGGGAAGUGUAAAGCAUAGCCUUGUCGAAGUUGUAGCUGUAGCUUAUUCAAUUCCUUGUCCCCCCUUAGUCUGGCAGAUGGAGCUCAUUGGCUUCCUUAUCUUUCUUAGCGUGUAGUAGCUUGGUAACCUUAGCAGGCCAAAGCACACGCUCUGAUUGGCUCUUUUCGCUAUUGCAUUGCUAAGCUUGCUGCGUGUCGAAGCUAUAAGCAAGAACGCAAGGCGCGAAGUAGUUGCCCCUUUUUUCUCCUGUAGCAAACCGAGUGUCGCUGAUCGUCAUCCACUGGCGAAGCUAUCUAGUAGUGAGGGAUUCCUCAGCAUUGCCUAGGUUCGGGCAUUCUAUUUGCGUUUUCAGCUUUGGGUAACGCCUCCUCUAUG